UAAACUGGAGCCUAAGGAAGGAUGCC
RNAcentral lists this non-coding RNA (26 nucleotides) under Rattus norvegicus (Norway rat). The record is from RNAcentral. Lineage: Eukaryota; Metazoa; Chordata; Mammalia; Rodentia; Muridae.